GGGUAUGUGGCUCAGUGGUAGAGCGCUUGCCUUGCAUGCAUAAGGUCCUGGUUUUGGUCCCCAGCAGCACCA
This 72-nucleotide transfer RNA is filed under the name Heterocephalus glaber (naked mole-rat). It matches the Rfam family "tRNA". From Rfam's summary of the family: Transfer RNA (tRNA) molecules are approximately 80 nucleotides in length. Their secondary structure includes four short double-helical elements and three loops (D, anti-codon, and T loops). Further hydrogen bonds mediate the characteristic L-shaped molecular structure. tRNAs have two regions of fundamental functional importance: the anti-codon, which is responsible for specific mRNA codon recognition, and the 3' end, to which the tRNAs corresponding amino acid is attached (by aminoacyl-tRNA synthetases). tRNAs cope with the degeneracy of the genetic code in two manners: having more than one tRNA (with a specific anti-codon) for a particular amino acid; and 'wobble' base-pairing, i.e. permitting non-standard base-pairing at the 3rd anti-codon position. The record is from Rfam by way of RNAcentral. Lineage: Eukaryota; Metazoa; Chordata; Mammalia; Rodentia; Bathyergidae.